Molecule: ribosomal RNA, 301 nt
Filed under: uncultured bacterium
Lineage: Bacteria
Description: partial 16S ribosomal RNA
Rfam family: Bacterial small subunit ribosomal RNA
Source: RNAcentral
CAGCAGCCGCGGGAAUACGGAGGGUGCAAGCGUUACUCGGAAUUACUGGGCGUAAAGCGUGCGUAGGUGGUGGUUUAAGUCCGUUGUGAAAGCCCUGGGCUCAACCUGGGAAUUGCAGUGGAUACUGGGUCACUAGAGUGUGGUAGAGGAUAGUGGAAUUUCCGGUGUAGCAGUGAAAUGCGUAGAGAUCGGAAGGAACAUCUGUGGCGAAGGCGACUAUCUGGGCCAACACUGACACUGAGGCACGAAAGCGUGGGGAGCAAACAGGAUUAGAUACCCCAGUAGUCCCUGUCUCUUAUAC